This 72-nucleotide transfer RNA is filed under the name Nanobdellota archaeon. RNAcentral's name for it is "tRNA-Ile". It matches the Rfam family "tRNA". Rfam says of the family: Transfer RNA (tRNA) molecules are approximately 80 nucleotides in length. Their secondary structure includes four short double-helical elements and three loops (D, anti-codon, and T loops). The record is from RNAcentral. Lineage: Archaea; Nanobdellati; Nanobdellota.
GGGCCUGUGGCUCAGUGGUAGAGCGCACGACUGAUAAUCGUGAGGUCGGGAGUUCGAUCCUCCCCAGGCCCA